Long non-coding RNA from Gopherus evgoodei (Goodes thornscrub tortoise), 127 nucleotides. RefSeq lists it as uncharacterized. The record is from RefSeq and is a predicted model, not a curated record. Lineage: Eukaryota; Metazoa; Chordata; Testudines; Testudinidae. The transcript has 3 exons.
CCCUCUCCAAAUCCCUAAUCAUUUUAGUUGCCCUUCUCUGAACCUUUUCUAGUGCCAGUAUAUCUUUUUUUGUGAUGAAGCGACCACAUCUGUACGGUUCACACAAAAUGUAUUCAAGAUGUGGGCA